UGCUUGUCUCAAAGAUUAAGCCAUGCAUGUCUAAGUCCAAGCUGUGUUCACACGGCGAGACCGCGGACGGCUCAUUAAAUCAGUCGUGGUCCAAAUGGGCCAGUGCAAAUCCUACUUGGAUAACUGUGGUAAUUCCAGAGCUAAUACAUGCAACUGAUAUCCCGAAGGCGGUGUUGGGGCUUGCUUGCCUUGCGCUGCGCUGCUCUGACGGAUGCUUUUAUUAGACCAAGCCGCUGAGGACUUGAGGGUUCGCGCUCUCUUGUUUGACUCGUGUGAUGGUGACUCUGGAUAACCAAAUUCUGACAAGCGCACGUACUUCUCUUCUGAGCGAGACGGCGCUGCCACUUUCGAGUGUCUGCCUUAUCAGCUAUCAACCGUUCGUUAUGCGCGACCGAUGGCUUUGACGGGUAACGGGGAAUCAGGGUUCGAUUCCGGAGAGGCAGCCUGAGAGACGGCUACCACGUCCAAGGACGGCAGCAGGCACGCAAAUUACCCAAUCCCAGCAAAUGGGGGAGGUAGUGACGAAAUCUAACGAUGCGGGCGCCCUUUCUGGGGCCCCGCAAUCGGAAUGGGCACUUUCUAAACAACCUGUUGAGAACCUACUGAAGGGCAAGUCUGGUGC
This 622-nucleotide ribosomal RNA is filed under the name Eulimnogammarus verrucosus. RNAcentral's name for it is "SSU rRNA". It matches the Rfam family "Eukaryotic small subunit ribosomal RNA", at positions 29 to 567 of the family's 1831-position model. The record is from RNAcentral. Lineage: Eukaryota; Metazoa; Arthropoda; Malacostraca; Amphipoda; Eulimnogammaridae.